RNAcentral lists this ribosomal RNA (246 nucleotides) under uncultured bacterium. RNAcentral's name for it is "partial 16S ribosomal RNA". It matches the Rfam family "Bacterial small subunit ribosomal RNA", at positions 57 to 305 of the family's 1533-position model. The record is from RNAcentral.
GCAAGUCGAGCAAACGAUGUAGCUUGCUACAGGCGUCGAGCGGCGGACGGGUGAGUAACGCGUAGGAAUCUGCCUAGUAGUGGGGGACAACAUGUGGAAACGCAUGCUAAUACCGCAUAAGCCCUACGGGGGAAAGGAGGGGAUCUUCGGACCUUUCGCUAUUAGAUGAGCCUGCGUGAGAUUAGCUAGUUGGUAGGGUAAAGGCCUACCAAGCUUACGAUCUAUAGCUGGUUUGAGAGGAUGAUC